Molecule: non-coding RNA, 2631 nt
Organism: Manis javanica (Malayan pangolin)
Lineage: Eukaryota; Metazoa; Chordata; Mammalia; Pholidota; Manidae
Source: RefSeq, a predicted model, not a curated record
AGGUGACCAGCCUGUCAAUGUUGUAUGUAUUGAUUAACCCACAUUUACUGGGUGCCUACUGAGUGAACGAUGAGUAAAAUUAGAUUCUGUCUUCAAAGAAUUCACUUGCUUUUUACUUAGAAUUUACCUGAAAAUGUAAUACUUAUAUACAUAGUUCUAACAUUAUUUCAACAACGUUAGUCUUCUAUGACAAUAUAAAUUUCUCGGUAAUGACUAUAGCCACAGUAGCUGGCACAGUUGUCCGUAAAGGUUAGGCCUUCUGUUGGUUGGGUGAUUGAUCUUGCUACGUUUCUUACCUUGGGGUUUGGGGUUAACAUUUAAUCUUCAUUCUCUGAGCAGUGAAAUAAAAUCUUGAGUUUAUUAUUCAGUUCCAUCAUCCAUUAUUUUGCUGAAGCCGGACCUUUACAUUGUACUGUGACCUUAAGGAAGUCAAUCUGACCUCAUUUUCCUCAUGCGUAAAAUGAAUCAUUUCUGAUAAAAGUUCUUUUAUUUUAAAAUUCUAUUAAUAGAAGAGGUUCUAAAUCCUAAAUCACGGUAACAGUGUCUCAUGUUGUUACUUUCAUUAAAAGUCUUUGUUCCCUUAGGUAAUAACAAUGAUAGCUUUGGUGAAUUAAGUUUACCUGCUGUGUCAUGCAAUGCUGCAGAAAAAAAACGCAGAAGAUGAGAAAAAUGAAGCUCAAAGAAGUGGCAUCCUGUGCUCUGAUCUGCCCGUAUUGAGUGACUUUGGUGACUGUUUUCAUCUGAAGUCCCAGACUUACUCUCACUUGUGCACUGCUCCUACCCGUCUGAGGCUGGCAUCUAGAGGUGGCCCCAGGAAGAGGGAGAUGCCGCAGACAGGCACGAGGCCCGCACCCUAAGGGCAUGUUCUCCACGUCAGGGAAGCACUGGAGAACACAGAGAUCGCUCGCCUUACGUCAGAGAGAACCAUCAGGGGUUAGAGUUUAGUUAGUCCAAAUAUGAAACCUGUUUUAAUGAAAGCUAUGCAAGUUUCAUGACUAAUUGGCUAAUUAAUUUGCUAUUCCUGCAUAAAAUUUCAGAAUGGAACUGAAUUAAACUAUUGUAGUUUAAAAACAGAGAAAGUGGAAUAGCCUCUUUAGCUCUAUGAGUGCACCAGUCAGGAAAGGCUAAGCUAUGUUGCAUUAACAACCAUCCUUAAUCUCAGCGUUUUACAAAAAAUGUGUUUUCUUAUUCCCACUACAAGUUCAUCACAAAUAUUGCUGGACACUGCUCCAUGACUUACCUCUGCGGGACCCAGACUCACGGAAUCUCCACUUCCUGGGUUAGGGGGAGAGCAUGAAUCUCAUGCCAGUUCUGAAAGCUUCAGCCCAGAAGUGAAAUAUUUCUCAUCUGUUUGCAUUUCAUUGGCUAAGGGAAGUCACAUAGCCACACCUAACUUCAAAGGUAUCAGAAGUUCCAUCCUGGCAUGUGCUCAGGAGAAAUGAAAAUACCUGGUGAAGGGCGUCAGUGGCUGUGUCUGUAGACAACACCAGACCGCGAGUCAGACAGACACCAUUUCUUUUUCCAGUUUCAUUUACUGCUCUGUUACCCAAACUUUCUGAACCUCAGUUUUCUUAUCAGUAAAAUUGAAAUGAUAAUAUUAAUGAUCUAUUUUAAAGACUUCAUAAACAAGAUCCUUAGUGUAAAAACAUCCAAUUUUUAAACUAGAAAGUUACACAAAUUAAAAAUGUGCCACUGCUUUGAAAUGAUGCCGAAUGUGAAGUGACUGCAUCUGUUUGAGGAGGCUUGCAGCUGCAGUAUCAAAAACCCGACUGCCACCGACAGGACAGGUGAGACUCGUUGGCUCACAGGCCUUGGAGUCCAGACGUAGAGGAGCCUUCAGCACUGGUGGAUUCAGUAGCUGACUGUGGGUACCAAGGACCUGUAUUUUUUCUUCCCUGCUCCUCAGUUCUCAAUAUCAGAUUAAACUUCAGGCUAAAGUGAUCACAGGCAUCAGAUUUGGGCAGAAAAAAAUGUCCCAAGAACUAGAGAGCUCCUUUUCCUUUCCCCUUAGGAGAAAAGAAACUUUUCCCAUAGGCCCCAGCAGCAAAAUGCUCUCACAACUCAUAGAAGAAUUGACUCGGAGGCCCAUCCUACACCCUUAGACAUCGAAGGCCCACCUGGAUCUCGGGGAGCCCAACCUUCCCUGUAGCACAUAGCUGAGUGGGAAAGGAGUAGACACAUGAACAAAUACAAAAAUUAGGAACUAAGGGGAGAAUGGAUGCUUCAUAGGGAGACAACAGCUUCAUAUGGCAAUGGAGUAUGAUUGAUUGUAUCCUUAUAAAUCUGAUUACUUAAUACAUUCAAUCAGUGAGAUAGAAGGAAGUACAGGGUAAAUGUGACAUCCAGCACUCUCCGUGGAGAUUUAAGAUGUAGUGGUACCAACAAAGGAUGAAUUGUGACCUCCGUCCUCACUGCCAGGAGGACCUGCUUCCCAUAAUUGGACAUUUCCUAGCAAGAGACCUCAGCUGCGCAGCAAGGAAUAUCCCAGUUUGGAACUGGGUUAUGAGGUAACCCAGCAGCACAAAUAUGUAGAUUCCUAAUUACUCCUCUUUAAGAAAUGACGAAUCGUACAAUAUUUCUUAUUUAUAAAUGGAAAAAAAUUUACAGAAAAUUAAAACAACAAAAAAUAAA